RNAcentral lists this ribosomal RNA (253 nucleotides) under uncultured bacterium. RNAcentral describes it as "partial 16S ribosomal RNA". It matches the Rfam family "Bacterial small subunit ribosomal RNA", at positions 524 to 776 of the family's 1533-position model. The record is from RNAcentral.
UACGAAGGGGGCUAGCGUUGUUCGGAAUCACUGGGCGUAAAGCGCACGUAGGCGGAUCUUUAAGUCAGGGGUGAAAUCCCGAGGCUCAACCUCGGAACUGCCUUUGAUACUGGGGAUCUCGAGUCCGGGAGAGGUGAGUGGAACUGCGAGUGUAGAGGUGAAAUUCGUAGAUAUUCGCAAGAACACCAGUGGCGAAGGCGGCUCACUGGCCCGAUACUGACGCUGAGGCACGAAAGCUAGGGGAGCAAACGGG